UAAAAUGAAGCUAAUAGCAUUUUCAGUUACGUUGAGGAAGACCUUUUUAGGCAUUUUAU
This 59-nucleotide transfer RNA is filed under the name Parhyale hawaiensis. RNAcentral's name for it is "transfer RNA-Val". The record is from RNAcentral. Lineage: Eukaryota; Metazoa; Arthropoda; Malacostraca; Amphipoda; Hyalidae.